UACGUAGGGUGCGAGCGUUGUCCGGAAUUACUGGGCGUAAAGAGCUCGUAGGUGGUUUGUCGCGUUGUUCGUGGAAUUCCCUGGCUUAACUGGGGGCGUGCGGGCGAUACGGGCAGACUGGAGUACUGCAGGGGAGACUGGAAUUCCUGGUGUAGCGGUGGAAUGCGCAGAUAUCAGGAGGAACACCGGUGGCGAAGGCAGGUCACUGGGCCGCAACUGACGCUGAGGAGCGAAAGCAUGGGGAGCGAACAGG
This 253-nucleotide ribosomal RNA is filed under the name uncultured bacterium. RNAcentral's name for it is "partial 16S ribosomal RNA". It matches the Rfam family "Bacterial small subunit ribosomal RNA", at positions 524 to 776 of the family's 1533-position model. The record is from RNAcentral.